This 351-nucleotide ribosomal RNA is filed under the name uncultured soil bacterium. Its description in RNAcentral is "bacterial SSU rRNA". It matches the Rfam family "Bacterial small subunit ribosomal RNA", at positions 336 to 702 of the family's 1533-position model. The record is from RNAcentral.
CUCCUACGGGAGGCAGCAGCAAGGGAUUUUCCGCAAUGGGCGCAAGCCUGACGGAGCAACGCCGCGUGCGGGAUGACGCCUUUCGGGGUGUAAACCGCUGUUCGUGGGGACGAAGCACUGACGGUACCCACGGAGGAAGGCCCGGCUAACUACGUGCCAGCAGCCGCGGUAAUACGUAGGGGUCGAGCGUUGUCCGGAGUUACUGGGCGUAAAGCGCGUGCAGGUGGCUCAUCACGCCCGGCGUGAAAGCCCCCGGCUUAACCGGGGAGGGUCGUCGGGGACGGGUGAGAUUGAGGGUAGCAGGGGCUGGUGGAAUUCCCGGUGUAGUGGUGAAAUGCGUAGAGAUCGGGA